RNAcentral lists this long non-coding RNA (698 nucleotides) under Coturnix japonica (Japanese quail). RNAcentral's name for it is "lncRNA (ENSCJPG00005000041.1)". Lineage: Eukaryota; Metazoa; Chordata; Aves; Galliformes; Phasianidae. The record is from RNAcentral.
AGGCGAGGCGCUGCAAAGCGUUUGGGAUUGGAGCGGGCUUUUCUCCGCUAUCCCCCACAGAGCGGGAAGCGGUGCUACCCCGCACGUGAGACGGGAGGGCUUUGCUGCCAGGAGAGACACGCAGCUCAGCCUCUGGGAGCGCCUCUCCAGAAAACGGCAGGAUAAGAUUUAUUUUAUUUUAUUUAUUUUUCCCUCCGUGUAAUAGCAGGGCUGGGGAAGGCCGGAUGUGGUGGUGAUUUACGGGAGACGAGAAACGUCUGGGUGCCUCCCUGCCCGGUGAGCGGUGUGCAAGCAACAGUGAGCAAAGCAGAACAGGAAAGGUGGAUAUGGAGCAAGGAGGUUCAGGAGGAUGUGUAUGUGAGCACUGAGUCAGCUGGCUACCGCACAGAGAAGCUGUUCCUUGCCUGACCUUUGCCACUGAGUUCUUCUGAAAUGGCAUCAGUGACAGGCUUCUCUACCUAAAUGCUCUAAAUCCCUGAGAGAGAGAGAUAUCUUUGUGGAUCCCAAACUGUAUUAUCAAAAAUCAACCUUUCUCAACCCUGUGAAGACACAGAUGUGCCAGAAAUGCUGAAUGGAUUGGAAAAGGCAGAGCAGGCACCAGCCAGCCUGCAGUGGUUUUUGACCACUUCUAAACAGAUUGGUGUCAGUAACCAAAGACCUGCAAUUUACAGAGCAAAGGGUAGGGCGGAAUGAUUCAA